AUCACUUCUCGGCCUUUUGGCUAAGAUCAAGUGUAGUAUCUGUUCUUAUCAGUUUAAAAUAAAACAACUCUACCUUUUUUGGUUCAAACAGAGAAUUACAACAGUGACAACUGAAGUUACUACCAUUUAUUCCUUCCUAUUCACCACAU
Molecule: small nuclear RNA, 149 nt
Filed under: Suricata suricatta (meerkat)
Lineage: Eukaryota; Metazoa; Chordata; Mammalia; Carnivora; Herpestidae
Description: U2 spliceosomal RNA (ENSSSUG00005007539.1)
Rfam family: U2 spliceosomal RNA
About the family: U2 is a small nuclear RNA (snRNA) component of the spliceosome (involved in pre-mRNA splicing). Complementary binding between U2 snRNA (in an area lying towards the 5' end but 3' to hairpin I) and the branchpoint sequence (BPS) of the intron results the bulging out of an unpaired adenosine, on the BPS, which initiates a nucleophilic attack at the intronic 5' splice site, thus starting the first of two transesterification reactions that mediate splicing.
Source: Rfam by way of RNAcentral